Molecule: transfer-messenger RNA, 391 nt
Filed under: Chloroflexota bacterium
Lineage: Bacteria; Bacillati; Chloroflexota
Description: Chloroflexi bacterium transfer-messenger RNA
Rfam family: transfer-messenger RNA
About the family: Bacterial tmRNA, also known as 10Sa RNA or SsrA, is named for its dual tRNA and mRNA-like properties. Its role is to liberate the mRNA from a stalled ribosome. To accomplish this part of the tmRNA is used as a reading frame that ends in a translation stop signal.
Source: RNAcentral
GGGGGCGAAUUAGAUUCGACGUUGGUGGCUGAAACCGCACGGCAAGCCGUGGCGCCACAACACGUUAAACUGGCAACGCACAUAGGUGCAAAACCCAAUUUCCAACCCCUUCCUAUGGUAGCUUAGGCGACCUGGAUGAGGGUGUAGAGGCAGAAUGUCCUCUACCGCUCCCGCAGAUUCGUCUCCCUUUGCGAGCUGCGAUGAGUGUCAUAAAAAGUUAGGGCGCCCGUCGUCCACGCCGAUAAGACGACGCCAAGACUCAUCGGCUAGCCUCAUGUAAAGCGCGCCGCCUGGGCCUGCAUGAGGCGAAACUUACCAGACGGCUAAGCUUGUAGAUGUGCGAGAUUCGAAACCAGCGGACCCGGGGGGCAGGUCCCCGGCGCUUCCACUC